RNAcentral lists this signal recognition particle RNA (300 nucleotides) under Callithrix jacchus (white-tufted-ear marmoset). RNAcentral's name for it is "Metazoan signal recognition particle RNA (ENSCJAG00000047633.3)". It matches the Rfam family "Metazoan signal recognition particle RNA". Rfam says of the family: The signal recognition particle (SRP) is a universally conserved ribonucleoprotein. It is involved in the co-translational targeting of proteins to membranes. The eukaryotic SRP consists of a 300-nucleotide 7S RNA and six proteins: SRPs 72, 68, 54, 19, 14, and 9. Lineage: Eukaryota; Metazoa; Chordata; Mammalia; Primates; Cebidae. The record is from Rfam by way of RNAcentral.
GCUGGGCACAGUGGCGCAUGCCUGUAGUCCCAGCUACUCGGAGGCUGAGGCUGGAGGAUUCCUUGAGCCCAGGACUUCCAGGCUGCAGUGCCCUAUGCCGAUGGGUGUCCACACUAAGUUCAACAUCAGUAUGGUGACCUCCUGGGAGCGAGGGACCACCAGGUUACCUAAAGAGGGGUGAACUGGCCCAGGUCGGAAAUAGAGCAGGUCAAAACUUCCGUACUGAUCAGUACUGGGAUUGCGCCUGUGAAUAGCCACUGUACUCCAGCGCCUGGGCGACACAGCAAGACCCCGUCUCAG